Mytilus californianus (California mussel) is the source of this 253-nucleotide long non-coding RNA. RefSeq lists it as uncharacterized. The transcript is spliced from 2 exons. Lineage: Eukaryota; Metazoa; Mollusca; Bivalvia; Mytilida; Mytilidae. The record is from RefSeq and is a predicted model, not a curated record.
AGAAAUUGUCACACCGGCCAGGACUUUAAAGUAGAUGUGUUAUAGCCUAUUUACAGGAAUACACGAACCAUUUAGUUACCAAGAUAUAGGCUUCUAUCGUUAAACAGUGACAUUCCUGAAAUCAUGGCACCUCUUUCUAUAGAAGAGGAGAAUUAUGUCCGGUUAGCGUUGUUGUUAAAAGGAGUGACACCUAGAGCUGUCCGUACUUAUUUUGACAGAGAAUUUUCACCUACCUCUCUACCCUCAACACUGA